AGACGUCAAUCAUCAUGCCCCUUAUGUCCUGGGCUACACACGUAAUACAAUGGCGGUCAACAGAGGGAUGCAAAGCCGUAAGGUGGAGCGAACCCCUAAAAGCCGUCCCAGUUCAGAUUGUGGGCUGCAACCCGCCCACAUGAAGUCGGAAUCGCUAGUAAUCGCGGAUCAGCAUGCCGCGGUGAAUACGUUCCCGGGCCUUGUACACACCGCCCGUCACACCAUGAGAGUCGGGAACACCCGAAGCCCGUAGCCUAACCUAACGGAGGGCGCGGUCGAAGGUGGGUUCGAUAAUUGGGGUGAAGUCGUAACAGGUAACCGUGA
RNAcentral lists this ribosomal RNA (324 nucleotides) under uncultured bacterium. RNAcentral's name for it is "bacterial SSU rRNA". It matches the Rfam family "Bacterial small subunit ribosomal RNA", at positions 1180 to 1505 of the family's 1533-position model. The record is from RNAcentral.